UUUCACAAAAAGCCACAUUUAAGUAAGUACGCAUAGGUGUAGAAAUAAUUAGAGUUAGCCAACUUUAGUACAAAUAUGUAUGUACUCAACUUUACGAAGAAAGCGCUUUGGAUGUAUGCAUUCUAGAUCAGUUGCUCGUUCCUUUUGCAUAACAUAAAGUUCCUUGGCAGUAAUUUUUCUGCUAUCCGCUAACCGCUAGCAUGACAAUGUUGGAUGUUGACGGCGAUAAAAUAUAAAGCGGAAGCGAAUUUUUCACGCAACUAAUGAGUUUUUCAUGCCGCAACUAGCUGCCAUCGCACAAACCAAUCGAACACUCAGCUCUUCGUCGCUUCCGUUGACUGCGCACACUUUAUUUUUGCUUUUAUUUUAUAUCCUAUUUCAUUUUAGCCUUCUCUUCCAUUUAUGUAUAUAUACCGUUGAAUUUAAAUGAAGUCCUUGGAGUCCGUUUACAUGCUUAGAGGAGAAUGCUUUGAUGCCUUGCAAAUCGUUGGCGGAAAAACGUAGAAAUCAAACCAUGUGGAAUGUACUAAAUGUAGCUUAGUAUAUAUGUACAUGUAUGAGUAUUUCAGCACUGAUGCUACCCAUGAUGUAAGUUCUUUUUCUCUCGAAAUGUAAAAUGGAAAAAACUAAUGACAGAUUCGUGAAUGCAUAAAAACUAAUGGUUUGUGAGCAAGCAGAAAAAUCAGCAAUCAACUGAAUGUAAUAGAAGUUGUCGAAAAAAAGAAUGUUGCUGGAGAAAUUACUGCGGCGCAUUGGAAAGGUGUAUGGGAUAAUGGCCAAAUGUUGAAUGAAAAUUGCAUUCUAAAGUGGCCGUCUAGAGUGGUCGUAUAAAGCAUUCAAGGUUUCUCCGUUGAUAUUUGAAUAGCAGAAUAAGCUGCAUCAUUUCGUUUAAUGUGGCAAUUGCAAAUGAAAUGUGUGUAUGUAGUUACAUAAAUUCUCUAAGAUGCCUUUAAGGUUAAAAUUUUAAGCAAUCACCAUAAGAAACAAAAAUAUUUCUUAUACAAAAAUAAACACUC
Rhagoletis pomonella (apple maggot) is the source of this 1016-nucleotide long non-coding RNA. RefSeq lists it as uncharacterized. The transcript has 3 exons. The record is from RefSeq and is a predicted model, not a curated record. NCBI's taxonomy places the organism in Eukaryota, Metazoa, Arthropoda, Insecta, Diptera, Tephritidae.